RNAcentral lists this ribosomal RNA (253 nucleotides) under uncultured bacterium. RNAcentral's name for it is "partial 16S ribosomal RNA". It matches the Rfam family "Bacterial small subunit ribosomal RNA", at positions 524 to 776 of the family's 1533-position model. The record is from RNAcentral.
UACGUAGGGGGCAAGCGUUGUCCGGAUUUAUUGGGCGUAAAGAGCGUGUAGGCGGCCAGGUAGGUCGGUUGUGAAAACUGGAGGCUCAACCUUCAGAGGUCGACCGAAACCAUCUGGCUAGAGUCCGGGAGAGGAGAGUGGAAUUCCUGGUGUAGCGGUGAAAUGCGCAGAUAUCAGGAAGAACACCCGUGGCGAAAGCGGCUCUCUGGAACGGGACUGACGCUGAGACGCGAAAGCGUGGGGAGCGAACAGG